UACAGAGGGUGCGAGCGUUAAUCGGAAUUACUGGGCGUAAAGGGCGCGUAGGCGGUGAGUUAAGUUAGAUGUAAAAUCCCUGGGCUUAACCUAGGAAGGUCAUCUGAAACUGACGAGCUGGAGUGCGGUAGAGGGUAGUGGAAUUUCCGGUGUAGCGGUGAAAUGCGUAGAUAUCGGAAGGAACACCAGUGGCGAAGGCGGCUACCUGGACUGACACUGACGCUGAGGCGCGAGAGCGUGGGGAGCAAACAGG
Molecule: ribosomal RNA, 253 nt
Filed under: uncultured Gammaproteobacteria bacterium
Lineage: Bacteria; Pseudomonadati; Pseudomonadota; Gammaproteobacteria
Description: partial 16S ribosomal RNA
Rfam family: Bacterial small subunit ribosomal RNA
Source: RNAcentral